CAAAGGAAUUGACGGACCCGCACAAGCAGCGGAGCGUGUGGUUUAAUUCGAUGAUACACGAAGAACCUUACCAGGGUUUGACAUGUUGGUGGUAGGGAUCCGAAAGGUGACCGACCCUUCGGGGAGCCUUCACAGGUGCUGCAUGACUGUCGUCAGCUCGUGUCGUGAGAUGUUCGGUUAAGUCCGCUAACGAGCGCAACCCUCGCUGUGUGUUACAUGUGUCACACGGGACUGCCGGUAACAAGCCGGAGGAAGGUGAGGAUGAUGUCAAGUCAGCAUGGCCUUUAUAUCCUGGGCUACACACACGCUACAAUGGGCAGUACAAUAGGUUGCGAAGCCGCGAGGCGAAGCCAAUCCCUAAAGCUGUCCUCAGUUCAGAUUGCAGGCUGCAACCCGCCUGCAUGAAGAUGGAGUUGCUAGUAACCGCAGGUCAGCUAUACUGCGGUGAAUACGUUCCCGGGGUUU
RNAcentral lists this ribosomal RNA (465 nucleotides) under uncultured Leptolinea sp. RNAcentral describes it as "bacterial SSU rRNA". It matches the Rfam family "Bacterial small subunit ribosomal RNA", at positions 902 to 1382 of the family's 1533-position model. Lineage: Bacteria; Bacillati; Chloroflexota; Anaerolineae; Anaerolineales; Anaerolineaceae. The record is from RNAcentral.